GACUCGUAAAAUAAUCUUUGACUUCUCGUAAAAUUGGGUUAAAAAGUUCCUAAAAACUCACUUUUCUACCAACUUUUUCACCAGAAAAUCAACUAUUUCCAGCAACUAUUUUCGUUAUUUUUACUCACUUUUCCACUUUUUUACUUCAAAUUUUGCGUGGAAUCCCUGUAUCUUAUAAUGUCGUUCA
Molecule: long non-coding RNA, 187 nt
Organism: Bradysia coprophila
Lineage: Eukaryota; Metazoa; Arthropoda; Insecta; Diptera; Sciaridae
Source: RefSeq, a predicted model, not a curated record